Molecule: long non-coding RNA, 266 nt
Filed under: Vigna radiata
Lineage: Eukaryota; Viridiplantae; Streptophyta; Magnoliopsida; Fabales; Fabaceae
Description: long non-coding RNA (VRAD_LNC018023)
Source: RNAcentral
AUCAUAUGUUAAGGGGAGAAAAUUGUUUAAACGAAAAAUACAUUAAAAAAGAAUGCUCAACAUUGAUAGGAUAGAUAAUUCAGGGGGAGCUAGGAGUAAUGGAAAGUAUACCCAAAACCUUGAAAUCAAUUUUCUAAAAUCUUCCACUCUGAUACAAUAUCAAUCUUAGCAUAUCGUUUCAUUUGCUCUUAUACAUGCUCACAUCUAUUCAAGUACACUAUAUCAUGCAUUUACAUACAUAUUUUUUAUAUACAUAUAAGCACUGU